Long non-coding RNA from Arvicola amphibius (Eurasian water vole), 754 nucleotides. RefSeq lists it as uncharacterized. The record is from RefSeq and is a predicted model, not a curated record. The transcript has 3 exons. Lineage: Eukaryota; Metazoa; Chordata; Mammalia; Rodentia; Cricetidae.
CUUGUGCUUCUGGGUGCUAUAAGAAAGCUGGCUGAGCAAGCCAGGAGGAGAAAGCUGGGGACUUUGGACAAGUCAGGAUCUGGGACAGAAAGAGAGGCCUUUGUAUUUCCUCAGUCUUCACUCAGUGCAGUAGAAUCAGUUUUAACAACAUUGCUAACGUGUGGGGAACCAAUGAAAUCAUAAUCUUUGUAGAGUGCGCAUGCUCUUUUAGAAAAACAUGGUUCCUGGGGAAAACAACAGCAGCCAGAAUCUGGAGCUCCAAGUGAUCAAGGCACAAGUCUGCUCAGAACCAGCUAUCGCUUCAGUCUCUGCGUUUAGGGCUGGUGCCCACAGAGGAGUCUUAUCUGCCACAAAGCAUCAACCCUGGAAUUAGGCAGGUGAGCUUAGGACCUCAGCCCUCGCAAGCUGCACUUGACAUGUCACAAGAUGGUAGUUAACCAUCUUAACCUGAAACCAGGUAGCUAAACAUCUCCAGCAGAGGUCUCCUUAACCUCCCUGAAGGUCCAAAUUCUACAAAGCAGCUCUUACAAUUUGGGGGCACUGUCAUCACCUGUCAUAGAAGCUAUUGCCAUCUCGGCAGAGGAAGAUGUGGGGACUCAUGGAGGCCGAAGUUCUUCCCUAUUUAGAAGUCCUUAGAGCAAGGAAGUCAGGACUGUGAGGAGUGCGUUUACCCAUUGAGACGGUGGGGCAGAUCUAACGGGAGACCACCAAGUCCAGUUGGAAUGGGACUGAUGGAACAGGGGACCAAACCGGA